Molecule: ribosomal RNA, 253 nt
Filed under: uncultured bacterium
Lineage: Bacteria
Description: partial 16S ribosomal RNA
Rfam family: Bacterial small subunit ribosomal RNA
Source: RNAcentral
UACGUAGGGACCGAGCGUUGUCCGGAUUUAUUGGGCGUAAAGAGCGUGUAGGCGGCCAGGCAGGUCCGUUGUGAAAACUGGAGGCUCAACCUCCAGACGUCGAUGGAAACCGUCUGGCUAGAGUCCGGAAGAGGAGAGUGGAAUUCCUGGUGUAGCGGUGAAAUGCGCAGAUAUCAGGAAGAACACCCGUGGCGAAGGCGGCUCUCUGGGACGGUACUGACGCUGAGACGCGAAAGCGUGGGGAGCGAACAGG